UAAGUUUCCUGAGGAGGGGACUCCUCUUUUAUACAUUGUCUUGCUUGCUGGUGACGUCUAAAGGCCUCUCCAGGAUUGGGCCACGCGUCUCUGCCAUGCGGAUUCGGAGGUACUAGGGUAUCAGCCGCCUGCUCCAUGCGUAACGGCCUCUGAUUCUCCUCGUGCGUACGUUCAAGCGGAUCUGCCAGGCUGUCUGGUGAAUAUUAUUCUGGAUCCUGGGUUGGGCCGAAAGUCGGGCCGGACGCUAGGCUUGAGAGGAGAGAGCCUGCUUCGUGUGGGUUGGGCCGUUAUGAAGAAGCUGGGCCGAGCCCGGUCUUGAAGGUUGAAUGAGCCAGGCUUGUUGGGUAUACCAGAUACGUGGGCCUCUAUGUUAUGGGCCUUUAGCAGUGGUUAGGCCCCUGGUCCGGGGUGAAGAAAUCCAUCGGUCAUCAAUUGCCCCUUCACCUUCUCGGGAGUUAUUGCUCCAACUGCCGAGGGGGUGAAUAUCAAGAACCAUUAUGGCCGCGUCUGUUCGUGUCUAAGUGUCUUUAUAAUACCCUUUCCUCUUCUUAUUGUUGCUCAGUUUCUGAAUCCUAUAUGCUCUUUCCUCUUUCGGGCUUUUCUUUACUUUCCGCGUUCUCUGCUAUCUUUGCUUUCUUGUCAUCAUUAUCUGGACAUGUCCUUUCUUUCCUUUCCCAUGAAUGCCUUUUAAGGACUCUGACGGCAUUAGUUGAGAAUUCGGCUCCCCUGUCCUGCAAAAUACAAACUUCCGGAUAUAUAUUGACAUCGCCUCCUUACCAGUCCCAGGCAUUCUGUGGGAGCAAAGGGAUUUUUCUUUCGAAUUUGUCUGUCUGUUUCCUUCUUCCGGCGGGAUUUUUGUAUUGCCCCAGGAAUUUGCUUUAAUCUCGCUUUUAUCAUCUCGACGGAAGAUUAUCCUAACUUAUCUCUGUUUUGGGACCCUUUUGCAGUACCUGAGAUGAAGAUGAGUCAAUUCAAAAUUUUUGAGGAUUGAAGGUUACCUCUAAGGAGUUGGAACGUUGUUUCGGAGAUCCUUCUGGUAGGGCGGUCGAUGGGUGGGACCAUUCGGCGAGUUGCUGAAACUACUUCGUCCAGGAUUUCUGGUCGACCUCCCCCCCUGUUAUCUUCUUUUGAUAUAAAUGGAAGUGGCGCAAGUGCUCAGCUUAUUGUUCCUUUUGAUGUGAAGUACCAGUAUU
This 1193-nucleotide long non-coding RNA is filed under the name Manihot esculenta (cassava). Its description in RNAcentral is "long non-coding RNA (MESC_LNC007275)". Lineage: Eukaryota; Viridiplantae; Streptophyta; Magnoliopsida; Malpighiales; Euphorbiaceae. The record is from RNAcentral.